This 497-nucleotide ribosomal RNA is filed under the name uncultured bacterium. Its description in RNAcentral is "partial 16S ribosomal RNA". It matches the Rfam family "Bacterial small subunit ribosomal RNA", at positions 28 to 507 of the family's 1533-position model. The record is from RNAcentral.
GAUGAACGCUAGCGGCGUGCCUAAUACAUGCAAGUCGAGCGAACAGACGAGGAGCUUGCUCCUCUGACGUUAGCGGCGGACGGGUGAGUAACACGUGGAUAACCUACCUAUAAGACUGGGAUAACUUCGGGAAACCGGAGCUAAUACCGGAUAAUAUAUUGAACCGCAUGGUUCAAUAGUGAAAGACGGUUUUGCUGUCACUUAUAGAUGGAUCCGCGCCGCAUUAGCUAGUUGGUAAGGUAACGGCUUACCAAGGCAACGAUGCGUAGCCGACCUGAGAGGGUGAUCGGACACACUGGAACUGAGACACGGUCCAGACUCCUACGGGAGGCAGCAGUAGGGAAUCUUCCGCAAUGGGCGAAAGCCUGACGGAGCAACGCCGCGUGAGUGAUGAAGGUCUUCGGAUCGUAAAACUCUGUUAUUAGGGAAGAACAAAUGUGUAAGUAACUAUGCACGUCUUGACGGUACCUAAUCAGAAAGCCACGGCUAACUACGUG